CGAAGAAUCCCCUCACCGUCAAAUCUGAACUCUGCACUGUUGCCAGACUGAACAGUCCUGGCAAUUUUCACUAACUCGGGGUCUUCGUGCUGUUUCAGAGCCACUUGCUCUAGAAACACUGGUGUCACUCUCAUCUGUGCGAUCAAAGCACCUGUACCAGAUAACUGCAACUGUAACCCUUCUUCCACGAGCUUGUAGAAAUCCUUCACCACCGGUCUUCU
This 221-nucleotide long non-coding RNA is filed under the name Manihot esculenta (cassava). RNAcentral describes it as "long non-coding RNA (MESC_LNC000173)". Lineage: Eukaryota; Viridiplantae; Streptophyta; Magnoliopsida; Malpighiales; Euphorbiaceae. The record is from RNAcentral.